Molecule: long non-coding RNA, 2541 nt
Filed under: Homo sapiens (human)
Lineage: Eukaryota; Metazoa; Chordata; Mammalia; Primates; Hominidae
Description: non-protein coding lnc-RNASEH1-12:1
Source: RNAcentral
AUCACUGAGAAGCGGUAGGAGGCUAGAGAGUCCCAGGAAGCGGCUCUGGGGACGAGUGUCUUGGUAACGCUUUUCCGCCCUAGGAUUCGUACUUUGGUGCCGUUUCCGAGCGUUCCGGUACCGGCUCCCAAGGUUCCCGUCUUCAGUGCAGGUUGCAGGCGGGAACCGGCCUCGUCCCAGCCCUGGGCCUGGGAGAGAGAAGGAGGCCGAAGAAAACCAACUUCGGCAACCUCCGGAGACAGGACGUUUAAAAAAGGCUAACUUGGCUGGGCGCUGAGGCUCACGCCUGUAAUCCCAGCACUUUGGGAGGCCGAGGCAGGAGGAUCACUUGAGCUCAGGAACCAGCCUGGGCAACAUGGCGAGACCCCAUGUCUACAAAAAAAAAAAAAAAAAAAUUAGCCAGUCAUGGUGGUGCGCGCCUGCAGUCCCAGCUACCCCGGAGGCCGACGCGGGAGGAUCGCUGGAGCCGAAAGGUCGAGGCUGCCGUGAGCCGAGGUUGCACCACUGCACUCCAGCCUGGGCGACAGCGCAAGACCCUGUCUAAAAAUAAAUUUAAAAAAAAUUGCGAGGCCUUCAUUCUAUGCUAGUACUGUACUAGGUGCUAAUUAUUAAGUAAAACCGACUGAACUCUUGCCCUCAUGGAGCUUACAGUUCAGUGGAGAAGACAUUACCUAAAGCAGUAUGACUAAAUAUAUAAUGACAUAUUGUAAUAACUUACAUAACAGUACAAUGAGAGGGUGGGGAGGGAUUAUUUAUGCUUUAAGAAGUCGGGAAUCCUGGAACGGAAUGACAUUAGACUGAGACACGGAAGAGCCGCAGGAUCUAUUGCUGGGGAAGAGCAUUCCAGACAGGGAGGAACUCGUGCCGAAUGAUCCCGCUGUGGACAGGGAAUUUAAUCUGAGCUUCGGUUUCCUCUUCUGUCAAAUGUCAUGCAAGAGUUACUUUCAGCCGUGGUCCAGGCACUGUGAAAAAUGCAGAAGCCACACUAGGUGCCCUCUCUCAGGAUUCCCAACCACCUUUACCAAGCAGAGAUGGUAUUCAUCCCACAUUUUUAAUGCUAGAUAUGCUCCCGCCCGGUGCUUCUCUAAUAAUGUUUUUUAAAAGCCGAAGCUGGACUGUACUGCUGCCAUCUCGGCUCACUGCAACCCCCCUGCCUGAUUCUCCUGCCUCAGCCUGCCGAGCGCCUGCGAUUGCAGGCACGCACCGCCACGCCUGACUGGUUUUUGUAUUUUUUUGGUGGAGACGGGGUUUCGCUCUGUUGGCCGGGCUGGUCUCCAGCUCCUAGCCGCGAGUGAUCCGCCAGCCUCGGCCUCCCGAGGUGCCGGGAUUGCAGACGGAGUCUCGUUCACUCAGUGCUCAAUGGUGCCCAGGCUGGAGUGCAGUGGCGUGAUCUCGGCUCGCUACAACCACCUCCCAGCCGCCUGCCUUGGCCUCCCAAAGAGCCGAGAUUGCAGCCUCUGCCCGGCCACCACCCCGUCUGGGAAGUGAGGAGCGUCUCUGCUUGGCCGCCCAUCGUCUGCGAUGUGAGGAGCCCCUCUGCCUGGCUGCCCAGUCUGGAAAGUGAGGAGCAUCUCUGCCCGGCCACCAUCCCAUCUAGGAAGUGAGGAGCGCCUCUUCCCCGCCAUCCAGCCCAUCUAGGAAGUGAGGAGCGUCUCUGCCCAGCCGCCCAUCGUCUGAGAUGUGGGGAGCACCUCUGCCCCGCCGCCCCAUCUGGGAUGUGAGGAGCGCCUCUGCCCGGCCGCGACCCCGUCUGGGAGGUGAGGAGCGUCUCUGCCCGGCCGCCCCGUCUGAGAAGUGAGGAGACCCUCUGCCUGGCAACCGCCCCGUCUGAGAAGUGAGGAGCCCCUCCGUCCGGCAGCCACCCAGUCUGGGAAGUGAGGAGCGUCUCCGCCCGGCCAGCCGCCCCGUCAGGGAGGGAGGUGGGGGGUCAGCCCCCCGCCCGGCCAGCCGCCCCUUCUGGGAGGUGAGGGGCGCCUCUGCCCGGCCGCCCCUACUGGGAAGUGAGGAGCCCCUCUGGCCGGCCACCACCCCGUCUGGGAGGUGUACCCAACAGCUCAUUGAGAACGGGCCAUGAUGACAAUGGCGGUUUUGUGGAAUAGAAAGGGGGGAAAUGUGGGGAAAAGAUUGAGAAAUCGGAUGGUUGCCAUGUCUGUGUAGAAAGAAGUAGACAUGGGAGACUUUUCAUUUUGUUCUGUACUAAGAAAAAUUCUUCUGCCUUGGGAUCCUGUUGAUCUGUGACCUUACCCCCAACCCUGUGCUCCCUGAAACAUGUGCUGUGUCCACUCAGGGUUAAAUGGAUUAAGGGCGGUGCAAGAUGUGCUUUGUUAAACAGAUGCUUGAAGGCAGCAGGCUCGUUAAGGGUCAUCACCACUCCCUAAUCUCAAGUACCCAGGGACACAAACACUGGGGAAGGCCGCAGGGCCCUCUGCCUAGGAAAACCAGAGACCCUUGUUCACUUGUUUGUCUGCUGACCUUCCCUCCACUAUUGUCCUGUGACCCUGCCAAAUCCCCCUCUGCGAGAAACACCCAAGAAUGAUCAAU